This 74-nucleotide transfer RNA is filed under the name Fibrobacterota bacterium. Its description in RNAcentral is "Fibrobacteres bacterium tRNA-Ile". It matches the Rfam family "tRNA". From Rfam's summary of the family: Transfer RNA (tRNA) molecules are approximately 80 nucleotides in length. Their secondary structure includes four short double-helical elements and three loops (D, anti-codon, and T loops). Further hydrogen bonds mediate the characteristic L-shaped molecular structure. tRNAs have two regions of fundamental functional importance: the anti-codon, which is responsible for specific mRNA codon recognition, and the 3' end, to which the tRNAs corresponding amino acid is attached (by aminoacyl-tRNA synthetases). tRNAs cope with the degeneracy of the genetic code in two manners: having more than one tRNA (with a specific anti-codon) for a particular amino acid; and 'wobble' base-pairing, i.e. permitting non-standard base-pairing at the 3rd anti-codon position. The record is from RNAcentral. RNAcentral also lists the same sequence under 1 other name. Lineage: Bacteria; Pseudomonadati; Fibrobacterota.
GGGUUCGUAGCUCAGCUGGUUAGAGCGCCGCUCUGAUAAGGCGGAGGUCGAUGGUUCGAGUCCAUCCGGACCCA